UGACUGACCGAUAGUGAACCAGUACCGUGAGGGAAAGGCGAAAAGAACCCCGGCGAGGGGAGUGAAAAAGAACCUGAAACCGUGUACGUACAAGCAGUGGGAGCACCCUUUGGGUGUGACUGCGUACCUUUUGUAUAAUGGGUCAGCGACUUAUAUUCUGUAGCAAGGUUAACCGAAUAGGGGAGCCGGAGGGAAACCGAGUCUUAACCGGGCGUUAAGUUGCAGGGUAUAGACCCGAAACCCGGUGAUCUAGCCAUGGGCAGGUUGAAGGUUGGGUAACACUAACUGGAGGACCGAACCGACUAAUGUUGAAAA
RNAcentral lists this ribosomal RNA (315 nucleotides) under Salmonella enterica subsp. enterica serovar Enteritidis. RNAcentral describes it as "partial 23S ribosomal RNA". It matches the Rfam family "Bacterial large subunit ribosomal RNA", at positions 477 to 795 of the family's 2925-position model. The record is from RNAcentral. Lineage: Bacteria; Pseudomonadati; Pseudomonadota; Gammaproteobacteria; Enterobacterales; Enterobacteriaceae.